RNAcentral lists this transfer RNA (93 nucleotides) under Methylobacterium frigidaeris. RNAcentral's name for it is "tRNA-Met". The record is from RNAcentral. Lineage: Bacteria; Pseudomonadati; Pseudomonadota; Alphaproteobacteria; Hyphomicrobiales; Methylobacteriaceae.
GCCUGUCGAAGCGGUAGGUGCUCAUGGGCGUCUCAUGGGCGUCCGAGAUCGGCGGCGAUCGGCUGGAUGGCGGUUUCUGCCCGUCGGCAGGUA